GCAAACUGAAACAGCUUACAUCCCAAAU
This 28-nucleotide non-coding RNA is filed under the name Rattus norvegicus (Norway rat). Lineage: Eukaryota; Metazoa; Chordata; Mammalia; Rodentia; Muridae. The record is from RNAcentral.